GAUGAAUGCUGGCGGCGUGCCUAAUACAUGCAAGUCGAGCGAACAGACGAGGAGCUUGCUCCUCUGACGUUAGCGGCGGACGGGUGAGUAACACGUGGAUAACCUACCUAUAAGACUGGGAUAACUUCGGGAAGCCGGAGCUAAUACCGGAUAAUAUAUUGAACCGCAUGGUUCAAUAGUGAAAGACGGUUUUGCUGUCACUUAUAGAUGGAUCCGCGCCGCAUUAGCUAGUUGGUAAGGUAACGGCUUACCAAGGCAACGAUGCGUAGCCGACCUGAGAGGGUGAUCGGCCACACUGGAACUGAGACACGGUCCAGACUCCUACGGGAGGCAGCAGUAGGGAAUCUUCCGCAAUGGGCGAAAGCCUGACGGAGCAACGCCGCGUGAGUGAUGAAGGUCUUCGGAUCGUAAAACUCUGUUAUUAGGGAAGAACAAAUGUGUAAGUAACUAUGCACGUCUUGACGGUACCUAAUCAGAAAGCCACGGCUAACUACGUG
Molecule: ribosomal RNA, 497 nt
Filed under: uncultured bacterium
Lineage: Bacteria
Description: partial 16S ribosomal RNA
Rfam family: Bacterial small subunit ribosomal RNA
Source: RNAcentral